GGUUUCUUGAUUAUAUGAGAAAUUUAACCUGCCCACUGAAAAUUUUUAAAGGGCCGCAGUAUUUUUGACUGUGCAAAGGUAGCAUAAUCAUUAGUCUUUUAAUUGAAGGCUUGUAUGAAUGGUUGGAUAAGGUAAAUACUGUUUUAUAUUAAUCAAUUGAAUUUAGAUUUUAAGUAAAAAGACUUAAAUAUAAUUAAGGGACGAGAAGACCCUAUAGAGUUUAAUAAAUGAGUUAAUUAAUUGAGUUAAUAAAUAUUUUUUAAUUAUUAAGUAAUUUAUUUAAUUGGGGUGAUUAAAAAAUAAAGAAAACUCUUUUUUGAUUUUAAUAAUAUAAUUAAUUGUAUGAUCCAUAAAUAAUGAUUAUAAGAUGAAAUUACCUUAGGGAUAACAGCAUAAUUUCUUUUAAGAGUUCAUAUUGAAAGAGAAGAUUGUGACCUCGAUGUUGGAUUAAGAUUAGUUUUGGGUGUAGAUGUUUAAAUACUAGGUCUGUUCGACCUUUAAAAUCUUACA
RNAcentral lists this ribosomal RNA (510 nucleotides) under Hestiasula phyllopus. RNAcentral's name for it is "partial 16S ribosomal RNA". It matches the Rfam family "Archaeal large subunit ribosomal RNA", at positions 1923 to 2669 of the family's 2987-position model. Lineage: Eukaryota; Metazoa; Arthropoda; Insecta; Mantodea; Hymenopodidae. The record is from RNAcentral.